This 225-nucleotide long non-coding RNA is filed under the name Physcomitrium patens. RNAcentral's name for it is "long non-coding RNA (PPAT_LNC005536)". The record is from RNAcentral. Lineage: Eukaryota; Viridiplantae; Streptophyta; Bryopsida; Funariales; Funariaceae.
AUUCAGAUUUCAGCAUUCAAUCUCUCUUCUUCUCAUUCAAUAACAUAUAAUUCCAUUCACACUUUCAUUCCAUGAUUUACUUCACAAUAUUCAGAAACUCUCAAUACUCUUAUUUCAAAGAACAUAACAACAAAAGAAAAGAGGUAGCACCAAGCUUAUCCCGGCUCACACUAUCACAGUAAUGGCGGUUUCUUCCUCUCUCUCAUCCUCCUUAUCCUACCACAA